RNAcentral lists this long non-coding RNA (228 nucleotides) under Elaeis guineensis (African oil palm). RNAcentral's name for it is "long non-coding RNA (EGUI_LNC062831)". Lineage: Eukaryota; Viridiplantae; Streptophyta; Magnoliopsida; Arecales; Arecaceae. The record is from RNAcentral.
CGGAGGCGAUCGGUCGUUGUAGAAAUCCAGCUAUCGAAGUCCAUCCAUCGUAGACGCUCGUCUGAUAUCCAUCCGCUAUGGAAGUUCCGACGGAGUCUGAUUCUUGUAGAAGGCUGAAAGGAGAUCACUUAUUGUAGAAGUUUGGUUGAAGAUCGAUUAUCGUGGGAGCUCGGAGUAGUGACCUGGCUGGUGGGUCUUGUCCCAUUAUAGAAGAUCGAUUAUCGUGGG